UGAACCUGCGGAAGGAUCAUUACCGUUGCAUACAACAACAACAACAAAAAAUCCCUCUGCGAGGAGGGAAGAUACACUGUGAACCUUAACAACCAUUAGGGGUAGAUGCGCCGGCUUGCAUCUUUAAAUGGAAGGAGGGCGACGUUCGCAGGACUUCUCCGGCUCGCUGCCGAAGAGUCGCAGUGGUUCUCGAGCCACUACUUGCUGCUCUGGGUUGGCCAGACGCGGUCCUGCGCCGCGUGGACGGCCUUCCUGCCCCGUUUGUGUUUUUCUCUACACACGUUAUCGUCUCGACUGAAACUUUUGCGAGGAAAGAAAAACGAAGACAACUUUUAACGGUGGAUCUCUUGGCUCGUGCAUCGAUGAAGAACGCAGCCAGGUGCGAUAAGUAGUGUGAAUUGCAGAAUUCAGUGAAUCAUCGAAUCUUUGAACGCAAAUGGCGCUCUUGGGUUCUCCCAGGAGCAUGUCUGUCUGAGUGUCGGUAUCCAACUCAUCGCGCGCCACCGUCGUCCGGUGGGUCUGUGCGGCGUUGAGGGCAUCUCGGUCUCAUCCCCUUCCUUCCUUCAGAAGAGGGAGACCGCGUCCCUUGAAGUCGAAAGAGAUUCGGUUGCGUUCGCUCGUGCAUCGCAAUACCGGAGGCCAAAAUCGUUUUCGUCCUCUGGUUUCUUUGCAGGAGGCUCGCAAGCAGGCCGAGUCGCCGAGGCGUUACUCGCACCCAAUCUUGACCUCAGAUCAGGCAAGGCUACCCGCUGAAUUUAAGCAUAUCAAUAAGCGGAGG
RNAcentral lists this ribosomal RNA (778 nucleotides) under Parazoanthid sp. 'Cape Verde'. RNAcentral describes it as "eukaryotic LSU rRNA". The stretch from base 328 to 481 matches the Rfam family "5.8S ribosomal RNA". The record is from RNAcentral. Lineage: Eukaryota; Metazoa; Cnidaria; Anthozoa; Zoantharia; Parazoanthidae.